CCUACGGGAGUCAGCAGUGGGGAAUAUUGCACCAUGGGGGGAACCCUGAUGCAGCGACGCCGCGUGGGUGAGGAAGUACUUCGGUCUGUACAGCCCUAUCAGCAGGAAAGAAAAUGACGGUACCUGACUAAGAAGCCCCGGCUAACUACGUGCCAGCAGCCGCGGUCAUACGUAGGGGGCCAGCGUUAUCCGGAUUUCCUGGGUGUAAAGGGAGCGUAGACGGCGUGGCAAGUCUGAGGUGAAAGGCCGGGGCCCAACCCCGGGACCGCAGUGGAAACUGGCAUGCUGGAGUGCCGGAGGGGUAAGCGGAAUUCCUAGUGUAGCGGUGAAAUGCGUAGAUAUUAGGAGGAACACCGGUGGCGAAGGCGGCUUGCUGGACGGUAACUGACGUUGAGGCUCGAAAGCGUGGGGAGCAAACAGGAUUAGAUACCCGGGUAGUC
RNAcentral lists this ribosomal RNA (440 nucleotides) under uncultured bacterium. Its description in RNAcentral is "partial 16S ribosomal RNA". It matches the Rfam family "Bacterial small subunit ribosomal RNA", at positions 338 to 795 of the family's 1533-position model. The record is from RNAcentral.